Molecule: transfer RNA, 78 nt
Filed under: Clostridiales bacterium
Lineage: Bacteria; Bacillati; Bacillota; Clostridia; Eubacteriales
Description: tRNA-Met
Rfam family: tRNA
About the family: Transfer RNA (tRNA) molecules are approximately 80 nucleotides in length. Their secondary structure includes four short double-helical elements and three loops (D, anti-codon, and T loops).
Source: RNAcentral
CGCGGAGUGGAGCAGUCCGGCUAGCUCGUCGGGCUCAUAACCCGAAGGCCGUAGGUUCAAAUCCUACCUCCGCAACCA